RNAcentral lists this ribosomal RNA (119 nucleotides) under Larimichthys crocea (large yellow croaker). The record is from RNAcentral. Lineage: Eukaryota; Metazoa; Chordata; Actinopteri; Sciaenidae.
GCUUACGGCCAUACACCACCCUGAAUGCGCCCGAUCUCGUCUGAUCUCGGAAGCUAAGCAGGGUUAGGCCUGGUUAGUACUUGGUGGGAGACGCCUGGAAAUACAGGUUGCUGUAAGCU